CAAAAUCACCGAAUUCGAUCGGCUGUUAAGAAUUGCCAAAAUAAAUGAAGUAAAUAAAUAGUGUAGAUCAUGUGGUGGAAAUAAACCACAACAAGCAUGUCAAUGCACCAUAUACCCCUCCCCUCCUGAUGCUUUGAAAAUAUCCGGGCUAGAUGUCCCUAUCAGGUGGCAACCUUACUUAUUUCCCUAACAUUUUAUUUUUUCUCACGAUUUAUAUUUUUUUGGGACGACAUGUCGAAGACUAUCAAAUAAACCGUUCUGUCUAAUAAAUUUUCUCAUUUUUGUAAAAUUUCAACUUUUUUUGUUUCUCAUUUCUUCAUGUUCAGAUAACUAUUGUGAGUUUCACUGAAACUUGUUCGCCGCGCUAUAAACCGCAACUCUGAAACCAAAUGCCCUUCUUGGUUGCCGAGUCGAUUUUAUUUUCUUCGGGACACUGUAAGCAACAACCAAAAUUAAAUCUACCUGCUUUGGCAACCCUUUCCAAAAUCAAAACAAACUUCGAUUCUGGCAGCACACUGAAGGCGGCAACAGCGGUGCCAGGCUUACAUAUUAAUCUAAUAUAAAUUGAUAUCAUAAUGCUUAAAACAGAAACCACAAAUCUCCACUGUCUCCAGCAGUGAUUUCUUCAAAGAUUUUCCCGAUACUUUAACAAUGAAGGUUGAUGCAAAUGAAAACAGCAUACAUCUGGCAACUCAGCGCGGCCUUUGAUUGAAGCGCGGUGUUUGGAUUAGACCGCGUUCAGUUUUGGGCAAAUCUCUUAAUAUCAACGCUUCAUUUGUUCUAUCUAAUUUAUCGAAUUAAAAUCAAUGACGUCUUCUGACAUUUGGAGUCGUAUUUACGGCUGAAGGAUCAGCAAAAAGACAACCCAAAAGUAAUAGUGUCCAUGUUCGAUCUAAGAGAAGUUUCAAGCGAAAUAAAUUUUGUGAGCUGGGAGAACCAUACAGUGACCAUCUCCCUUUCCGUGCACCCGCCGGAAGACCCCAUGACAGAUGCAGAAGAAAAGUUGUGUAACUUUUUCACGAGCUUCAUUUGAUUUAACGAGCAUGGUCAUAAAAGAUAUGAUUAAUAAAUAAAUAAUGUUGAAUGCA
Molecule: long non-coding RNA, 1088 nt
Organism: Wyeomyia smithii (pitcher-plant mosquito)
Lineage: Eukaryota; Metazoa; Arthropoda; Insecta; Diptera; Culicidae
Exons: 3
Source: RefSeq, a predicted model, not a curated record